AAGGCCGGGCAAUUGCUGCAUCAUGCAGAGGAAAGUCCAUGCUCACACGAUGCUGAGAUGCUCGUAGUGUUCGUGCUCCGCGAAAAAAUAAGCGGUGGCAGCUUACAAAUGUAGGCUGACGGCAGAGAGGAUACCUAAGUUCUUUUGAAUAUGGUAUGAAUCUCUUGAAAGUGCCACAGUGACGUAGUUCUGACAGAAAUGUCGGAAGUGGAACGAGGUAAACCCCACGAGUGAGCAACUCAAACAAUGGUAGAGGCACUUUUCCGGAGGAAAUGAACAAAGGAAGGGACCGGUUAUCCGGUAGAUAGAUGAUUGCCGCCUGAGGUACGAGCUUAUAAGCGUUUGCAGUACGCAGGAACAAAACAUGGCUUACAGGC
This 377-nucleotide RNase P RNA is filed under the name Jeotgalibacillus sp. R-1-5s-1. Its description in RNAcentral is "Bacterial RNase P class B". It matches the Rfam family "Bacterial RNase P class B". From Rfam's summary of the family: Ribonuclease P (RNase P) is a ubiquitous endoribonuclease, found in archaea, bacteria and eukarya as well as chloroplasts and mitochondria. Lineage: Bacteria; Bacillati; Bacillota; Bacilli; Caryophanales; Caryophanaceae. The record is from Rfam by way of RNAcentral.